UUGGAUGUAGUGUAGCUUGGUAACGCAUUUGUUUUGGGUACAAAAUGUCACGGGUUCAAAUUUUGUCAUUCCUA
Molecule: transfer RNA, 74 nt
Filed under: Gossypium arboreum
Lineage: Eukaryota; Viridiplantae; Streptophyta; Magnoliopsida; Malvales; Malvaceae
Rfam family: tRNA
About the family: Transfer RNA (tRNA) molecules are approximately 80 nucleotides in length.
Source: Rfam by way of RNAcentral